Molecule: RNA transcript, 2370 nt
Organism: Bombus pyrosoma
Lineage: Eukaryota; Metazoa; Arthropoda; Insecta; Hymenoptera; Apidae
Exons: 4
Source: RefSeq, a predicted model, not a curated record
AGAAGACGCAAGUAUCAUUGCAGCUGCUUGUCGUUCCACGUGCCGAUUUACUGAAAGCUCUUUCACGAGGAGUCGAAGGAUUCCACGAACGAUUCAAUUAUUUUUAUUUUUUGAAAGGAAACCAGCAAAUGUUGGCAGAGAUACAAAGAUUUUCCUCUUUCUGGUUUAGUUUCUUUCUAUGUCAGUCUCUAAGAUGAAAGGUAAUUGCAGCAAACGAUAGUGUGGAAUUUUUCGAUCGACAAUUAUAUUACGUAACAUCGUAAACGAUUAACUACCAUUAAAUUGGCGACUCCUUGAGAUCGUGAAGUUCUUCGAGAUUGUUUAUGAGAACCGAAAUGAAGCUUCGGCUUGAGAUUUUCUAAUCGAAGGCAGACAUGUACUCGCCUGUGGGGCUUCGUGAAAACCGCUGAACAACUGAACAAUUUAAUGGCGCCACGGAGAACGAUCGGUAUCAAUCUAAAUGCAGAUGAACCACGAUUAUUUAUAGACAGCUUGUACGCUGAAUUCCAAACCGUCCGGCUAUAUAGGAAACUUUUUCUUUGCCAACUAUUCGAUCAGGCUAGACAUCUCUGUCACAGCUUCCUACCUACUUUUUAACAAUCUUUUCACCUACCAAGGAAAUUCGUAGCUUGCUCUUUAUAAGCAAAAAAUCAGGGCAAACUGUUUUGUCUGCGUCGCUCGAUAAAACGUUCGAGAAGCCCGCGUUUAACCGGAUCGUUUGACGCUGUACGAUGCAGCCGGUUUAACGUUCUACUUUUAGUUAUCAUCGCGCUGCUGGAGUAAAAGGUUAUCGUGUUAAGGAUACGUGUCGACGUGGCUUGCUUUAAAAGCAACCGAGCCAACCAGGCUUUGAAAUCCUGGGAUGGGCGAGGCCAACCAGAUAUCCGGACAGGAAGUUUGCGGGAAGUGCAAAGACGUUCCGCUGAUAGUACUUAGCGUCCGUGAUGAUGGACGGAAAUGUUAACCGUUACUAACAUAACAUAGCAAUUUGUUAGAGGAAUACAGUGGCUCAUGAAGGUUGAUUUCAAAUUCUGUCAGUAUAAUCAUGAUAAUACUAAUGAAAUGUCGACAUGUUUUGUAUAAUACACAUAAUACAUCGUUCAAAUAUUUCGUGAAUCACUGUAUGCAGAAGAAUAACACAUCGUAAUACGAAAUAAGAAGAAAGAAGGCAGUACAAAAUGAAAGAAUGAGUAGGAGUUUCUCGCUCGAACUGCUCUUAACGAUCAAAAGACUAAAAACACCGACAAGGAUGCUCGAUCGGGAUCUCCUCGAUUGCUUCCUGCUCGAAUGCCUGUAUCGAAACUCGUCGGAAACUGGGUCAUUUUUUGCCUCCGUUGUCGACCGUUCGCAUAAAUUACAUCAACUCGCGAGUAGUGAAAAAUAUGUCACGUUACGCCAAGGAACCGACUGCCGUCUUAAUAUACGAGGUGAGCGAUAAUUCGUAGCGCAAAUACAAUGGAACUCCCUUUGUAAGAACGAAAUUUUAGUUAGCGCCCGAUCGAUCGAUUUUGUACACUAUCUGCGCUUAUCUUCUUUCCCAAUAGUUUAAAAAUACAAGCAAAAUGAAUUUCGAAGGAUACACAGUUUAAAAAGAAAUUGAUAAUACACAUGCACUUGACUCAUGUUACUGAUAUCACACAGUGUACUAUUUCUGCCGCUGUUUAUAUAUAUGUUUCUUUUUGUAUAGAUAAAAUGGUUUAUACAGUGUUAGAGCUUCUUUGCCAUCGAUUGUUCGAAAUGUUGACUAUUAAUAUUAGAAUAGAUGGUUCGUUACCAUCACCUAUUCUUAUUGUAUUCACAAAUCGAAAAAGUAAUUACUAGAUAAAUAUUGAUAGCAAAUAAGCCUUAUAUUUGAAGUCGCAAUCUAUAAUCAAAUUCCAAACGCCAAUUAUCGAUGAGGUGUACACGUGUAUUCAAUUGACUUUCAAAUACAUUUUUCUCCGAAAGAACCUUCAAUACAAUUCUGUUAUUCUCUGCUUUUGCCUUAUUUUCAGCCAUAGAAUCUACCUCACUCCACUUAUACCACGAUUUAUGGACGACGAUAUAUAAACCGGUGCGCAAUGCAGUUCCGGUUACAACGGAGAAAUCUUGGAUGACUGAAAAAGAAAAAAGAAGAAGGGAUUCGCCUCACGUCGAGUGAAAUAUAACAAAGUAUUCCGAAUAAGUUGACUCCGUUGACUUCCGGUGCUUCAAGUCCCGUACACACAAAGCAUACUUCAAAAUUAUGUAGAUUAUAAAUGACCCAAUUUCCAUGUCGCAGACUGUACUCGCAACUGUUGCCGUCCUUCGACGAUUAAUCUACUUCUACCAUGCAAGUGUAACUCGCGGAAAAUGCUAUUUUCCGUUUGUCGAAUAAACAAGCAAAUAAAA